GCCCUCGUAGUUCAAGGGAUAGAAUGUAGGUUUCCGGAACCUAAUAUCCAGGUUCGAGUCCUGGCGGGGGCACCA
RNAcentral lists this transfer RNA (75 nucleotides) under Candidatus Falkowiibacteriota bacterium. RNAcentral's name for it is "tRNA-Arg". It matches the Rfam family "tRNA". Rfam says of the family: Transfer RNA (tRNA) molecules are approximately 80 nucleotides in length. Their secondary structure includes four short double-helical elements and three loops (D, anti-codon, and T loops). Lineage: Bacteria; Candidatus Falkowiibacteriota. The record is from RNAcentral.